Molecule: ribosomal RNA, 1030 nt
Filed under: uncultured fungus
Lineage: Eukaryota; Fungi
Description: eukaryotic LSU rRNA
Rfam family: Eukaryotic large subunit ribosomal RNA (bases 349-1030)
Source: RNAcentral
AUCGAUGAAGAACGCAGCGAAAUGCGAUAAGUAAUGUGAAUUGCAGAAUUCAGUGAAUCAUCGAAUCUUUGAACGCACCUUGCGCCCCUUGGCUAUUCCGAGGGGCAUGCCUGUUUGAGUAUCAUGAACACCUCAACUCUCAUGGUUCGCCGUGAUGAGCUUGGACUCUGGGGGAUUUGCUGGCCUGCGGUCGGCUCCCCUCAAAUGAAUCAGCCUCCCAGUGUUUGGUGGCAUCACGGGUGUGAUAAAUAUCUACGCUCGCGGUUGUCUGCCAGAUAACCUUUGGUGACAAAGGUUUGCUGGAGCUUACAGACGUCUCUCCUCAGYGAGGACAGCUUUUUGGACGUUCGAUCUCAAAUCAGGUAGGACUACCCGCUGAACUUAAGCAUAUCAAUAAGCGGAGGAAAAGAAACUAACAAGGAUUCCCCUAGUAACUGCGAGUGAAGCGGGAAGAGCUCAAAUUUAAAAUCUGGCGUGCCUCUGGCCGUCCGAGUUGUAGUCUAGAGAAGUGUUUUCCGUGUUGGACCGUGUAUAAGUCUCUUGGAACAGGGCGUCAUAGAGGGUGAGAAUCCCGUCUUUGACACGGACUACCAAUGCUUUGUGAUACACUCUCAAAGAGUCGAGUUGUUUGGGAAUGCAGCUCAAAAUGGGUGGUAAAUUCCAUCUAAAGCUAAAUAUAGGCGAGAGACCGAUAGCGAACAAGUACCGUGAGGGAAAGAUGAAAAGCACUUUGGAAAGAGAGUUAAACAGUACGUGAAAUUGCUGAAAGGGAAACGCUUGAAGUCAGUCACGUCUGCCAGGACUCAGCCUUGCUUCUGCUUGGUGUACUUUCUGGUUGGAUGGGCCAACAUCAAUUUUGACCGUUGGAGAAAGGCUUUGGGAAUGUGGCACCUUYGGGUGUGUUAUAGCCCAUUGUCGUAUACAACGGUUGGGAUUGAGGACUGCAGCAUGCCUUCAUGGCCGGGGUUCGCCCACGUACAUGCUUAGGAUGUUGGCAUAAUGGCUUUAAGCGACCCGUCUUGAAACACGG